CACGCCGUAAACGAUGAGUACUAGGUGUAGGGGGUAUCGACCCCCCCUGUGCCGCAGUAAACACAAUAAGUACUCCGCCUGGGAAGUACGAUCGCAAGAUUAAAACUCAAAGGAAUUGACGGGGACCCGCACAAGCAGCGGAGCAUGUGGUUUAAUUCGAUGCAACGCGAAGAACCUUACCAGGGCUUGACAUCCCCCGGACGGAACUAGAGAUAGUUCAUUCCCUUCGGGGACUGGGGAGACAGGUGG
RNAcentral lists this ribosomal RNA (249 nucleotides) under uncultured bacterium. RNAcentral describes it as "partial 16S ribosomal RNA". It matches the Rfam family "Bacterial small subunit ribosomal RNA", at positions 796 to 1041 of the family's 1533-position model. The record is from RNAcentral.